CUUCACCGAGCCGAGCCACAAGGGAUGUUCCCGAUCCUGGCCGUAGGUGGCGAGCAGGGCCUGGGCCUC
Molecule: antisense RNA, 69 nt
Filed under: Streptomyces sp. DSM 15324
Lineage: Bacteria; Bacillati; Actinomycetota; Actinomycetes; Kitasatosporales; Streptomycetaceae
Description: ASpks TB sRNA
Rfam family: ASpks TB sRNA
Source: Rfam by way of RNAcentral